AGGAAUAUAGCUCAUGUUAGAGCACUUGCCUGGCAUGUAUGAGGCCCUGGGUUCAAAUCCCAGCACUACCA
Molecule: transfer RNA, 71 nt
Filed under: Ictidomys tridecemlineatus (thirteen-lined ground squirrel)
Lineage: Eukaryota; Metazoa; Chordata; Mammalia; Rodentia; Sciuridae
Description: Spermophilus tridecemlineatus (thirteen-lined ground squirrel) tRNA
Rfam family: tRNA
About the family: Transfer RNA (tRNA) molecules are approximately 80 nucleotides in length. Their secondary structure includes four short double-helical elements and three loops (D, anti-codon, and T loops).
Source: Rfam by way of RNAcentral